This 725-nucleotide long non-coding RNA is filed under the name Heterocephalus glaber (naked mole-rat). RNAcentral describes it as "lncRNA (ENSHGLG00000042873.1)". Lineage: Eukaryota; Metazoa; Chordata; Mammalia; Rodentia; Bathyergidae. The record is from RNAcentral.
UUUGAGCUUCAGAAAUUUAGAAUACAGUCAAAUCCACUUAAAUGACUUUGAAAGGGUCGGCAAUGUGCAGCCACAGUGAUGGAAUCUGGGACAGUCUCUUCCUUCCACCUCUCUGUGACCUCUGGGAUUUUGGACACAGUUUGAUGCAUCUUCAAGGUAUGCACCUACUUUAGUCACUUUCCCAUCACGGGACAAGAUACCUGACAUCCACAACUUAAAGGUGGAGGGGUUUAUUUUGACUCAUGGUUUAAGUUCAUGGUCAGCCAGCUCCAAGCCAGAAAUGGCAUGGUGGAAGGGCCUGGCUGAAGAAAACCUGUCCACAUCACGAUGGCCAGGAAGAGAGAAAGAAGAAGCAGCUGAGGAGGGAGAAGCCCCCUUCCAGGACCCACCCCAGUGACCCCCUCUCCUGACCAGGAUCCACCUCCUAACAGCACAGUCAGCUAUGAUUCACCAGUGGAAUGUCAGAAAAUAAAAGAAGCAAUGGUUGCAGAAUGAGCAGACCCAGGGCAUCCAUACCUUGUAUGCAGCCUUCAUUGAUUCAUUAGUCAGGGAACUAGAUGGGUACCAAAGUGUCUUGACCAAUUUAGGCACUCAGUCUACAUUUGGAUUUAUGUAUUCAUGAAUGGAAAAAAAACCCCUGACUCUUUUAAGCCUAGAGCAGAAAAUAUUCCAAUACAGACCUUCUUACGUGGCGUACAAUCAGGAGACUCAAUUUAGUGCAAGUG